AGAGUUUGAUCAUGGCUCAGAGCGAACGCUGGCGGCAGGCUUAACACAUGCAAGUCGAGCGGGCGUAGCAAUACGUCAGCGGCAGACGGGUGAGUAACGCGUGGGACGUACCUUUUGGUUCGGAACAACACAGGGAAACUUGUGCUAAUACCGGAUAAGCCCUUACGGGGAAAGAUUUAUCGCCGAAAGAUCGGCCCGCGUCUGAUUAGCUAGUUGGUGAGGUAACGGCUCACCAAGGCGACGAUCAGUAGCUGGUCUGAGAGGAUGAUCAGCCACAUUGGGACUGAGACACGGCCCAAACUCCUACGGGAGGCAGCAGUGGGGAAUAUUGGACAAUGGGCGCAAGCCUGAUCCAGCCAUGCCGCGUGAGUGAUGAAGGCCCUAGGGUUGUAAAGCUCUUUUGUGCGGGAAGAUAAUGACGGUACCGCAAGAAUAAGCCCCCGGCUAACUUCGUGCCAGCAGCCGCGGUAAUACGAAGGGGGCUAGCGUUGCUCGGAAUCACUGGGCGUAAAGGGUGCGUAGGCGGGUCUUUAAGUCAGGGGUGAAAUCCUGGAGCUCAACUCCAGAACUGCCUUUGAUACUGAGGAUCUUGAGUUCGGGAGAGGUGAGUGGAACUGCGAGUGUAGAGGUGAAAUUCGUAGAUAUUCGCAAGAACACCAGUGGCGAAGGCGGCUCACUGGCCCGAUACUGACGCUGAGGCACGAAAGCGUGGGGAGCAAACAGGAUUAGAUACCCUAGUAGUCC
This 744-nucleotide ribosomal RNA is filed under the name uncultured bacterium. RNAcentral describes it as "bacterial SSU rRNA". It matches the Rfam family "Bacterial small subunit ribosomal RNA", at positions 8 to 796 of the family's 1533-position model. The record is from RNAcentral.